UCAUACCCAGCUGCCACCGGGCGUUUCUGGUCCGUCUGUCGGUCCAGGAGGUCCACAGGGUGUGCAGCUCCUUCCGCUCGGGUCAUCGGCCGCAAUGGGCAUGCCCAUACCUCAAAUUCAUUACAUUCAGCAAGCCCCCGUAAUAGGUGGGCAGCCUUCCCAUAUGCAACAAUUGGUUCCUCAUAAUCAAUAAGUUGUCCACAUACAAAAAAUAACCAAACAGAUACAAAACACAAAAAAUUUCCAAACCAA
Daphnia magna is the source of this 252-nucleotide long non-coding RNA. RefSeq lists it as uncharacterized. The transcript has 2 exons. The record is from RefSeq and is a predicted model, not a curated record. NCBI's taxonomy places the organism in Eukaryota, Metazoa, Arthropoda, Branchiopoda, Diplostraca, Daphniidae.